Phoenix dactylifera (date palm) is the source of this 278-nucleotide non-coding RNA. NCBI's taxonomy places the organism in Eukaryota, Viridiplantae, Streptophyta, Magnoliopsida, Arecales, Arecaceae. The record is from RefSeq and is a predicted model, not a curated record.
GGGCUGUAAAUGACUUUAAGAUUAUAAAUAAAUAGAAAUUAAAUGUGCGAGUGACAUGUAAUUUAAUGAUCUUGUUAGGUAUUGAAGAAUUGGCAUUUGGUGAGCAAAUUAAGAUGAAUAGGAGAUGCUAGGAACAAGGAGCGUGACAUGCCUCAGGGUUAUGAGAAUAAUAAAAUAUUAAAUGAUGAUAUUGUUUUUAGAAGCUAUGUAUGGAUUUUAAUACCUGAACAUAGUUGUUUAGUAAUUGAAGUUUUAAAGAGGCUGCGUGUUAUUGUAUG